This 1327-nucleotide ribosomal RNA is filed under the name Stagonosporopsis astragali. RNAcentral's name for it is "eukaryotic LSU rRNA". It matches the Rfam family "Eukaryotic large subunit ribosomal RNA", at positions 68 to 1414 of the family's 3401-position model. Lineage: Eukaryota; Fungi; Ascomycota; Dothideomycetes; Pleosporales; Didymellaceae. The record is from RNAcentral.
ACAGGGAUUGCCCUAGUAACGGCGAGUGAAGCGGCAACAGCUCAAAUUUGAAAUCUGGCGUCUUUGGCGUCCGAGUUGUAAUUUGCAGAGGGCGCUUUGGCAUUGGCAGCGGUCCAAGUUCCUUGGAACAGGACGUCACAGAGGGUGAGAAUCCCGUACGUGGUCGCUAGCCUUUACCGUGUAAAGCCCCUUCGACGAGUCGAGUUGUUUGGGAAUGCAGCUCUAAAUGGGAGGUAAAUUUCUUCUAAAGCUAAAUACUGGCCAGAGACCGAUAGCGCACAAGUAGAGUGAUCGAAAGAUGAAAAGCACUUUGGAAAGAGAGUUAAAAAGCACGUGAAAUUGUUGAAAGGGAAGCGCUUGCAGCCAGACUUGCCUGUAGUUGCUCAUCCGGGUUUUUACCCGGUGCACUCUUCUAUGGGCAGGCCAGCAUCAGUUUGGGCGGUUGGAUAAAGGUCUCUGUCAUGUACCUCCUCUCGGGGAGAACUUAUAGGGGAGACGACAUGCAACCAGCCUGGACUGAGGUCCGCGCAUCUGCUAGGAUGCUGGCGUAAUGGCUGUAAGCGGCCCGUCUUGAAACACGGACCAAGGAGUCUAACAUCUAUGCGAGUGUUUGGGUGUCAAGCCCGAACGCGUAAUGAAAGUGAACGGAGGUGGGAACCUUUCGGGGUGCACCAUCGACCGAUCCUGAUGUCUUCGGAUGGAUUUGAGUAAGAGCAUAGCUGUUGGGACCCGAAAGAUGGUGAACUAUGCUUGAAUAGGGUGAAGCCAGAGGAAACUCUGGUGGAGGCUCGCAGCGGUUCUGACGUGCAAAUCGAUCGUCAAAUUUGGGCAUAGGGGCGAAAGACUAAUCGAACUAUCUAGUAGCUGGUUCCUGCCGAAGUUUCCCUCAGGAUAGCAGUAACGUUUUCAGUUUUAUGAGGUAAAGCGAAUGAUUAGAGGCCUGGGGGUUGAAACAACCUUCACCUAUUCUCAAACUUUAAAUAUGUAAGAAGUCCUUGUUACUUGAUUGAACGUGGACAGUUGAAUGUAUCGUUACUAGUGGGCCAUUUUUGGUAAGCAGAACUGGCGAUGCGGGAUGAACCGAACGCGGGGUUAAGGUGCCAGAAUAUACGCUCAUCAGACACCACAAAAGGUGUUAGUUCAUCUAGACAGCAGGACGGUGGCCAUGGAAGUCGGAAUCCGCUAAGGAGUGUGUAACAACUCACCUGCCGAAUGAACUAGCCCUGAAAAUGGAUGGCGCUCAAGCGUAUUACCCAUACCCCGCCGCUGGGGCAAGAUUUAAGCCCCAGCGAGUAGGCAGGCGUGGAGGUCCGUGACGAAGCCUUGG